GACGAACGCUGGCGGCGUGCUUAACACAUGCAAGUCGAACGGUGAAGCGCCUUCCUUUUUGGUGGGUGUGGAUGAGUGGCGAACGGGUGAGUAACACGUGAGUAACCUGCCCCCUUCUUCUGGAUAAUCGCAUGAAAGUGUGGCUAAUACGGGAUAUUCUGGGUCUGUCGCAUGAUGGGUCUGGGAAAGAUAUUGUUUCGGUGGGGGAUGGGCUCGCGGCCUAUCAGCUUGUUGGUGGGGUGAUGGCCUACCAAGGCGGUGACGGGUAGCCGGCCUGAGAGGGUGGACGGUCACACUGGGACUGAGACACGGCCCAGACUCCUACGGGAGGCAGCAGUGGGGAAUAGUGCACAAUGGGCGCAAGCCUGAUGCAGCGACGCCGCGUGAGGGAUGGAGGCCUUCGGGUUGUGAACCUCUUUCGCCAGUGAAGCAGGCCUGCCUCGUUUGUGGGUGGGUUGACGGUAGCUGGAGAAGAAGCGCCGGCUAACUACGUG
This 494-nucleotide ribosomal RNA is filed under the name uncultured bacterium. RNAcentral's name for it is "partial 16S ribosomal RNA". It matches the Rfam family "Bacterial small subunit ribosomal RNA", at positions 28 to 507 of the family's 1533-position model. The record is from RNAcentral.